ACGCUCGACACCUACGGGAGGUAGCAGUGGGGAAUAUUGCACAAUGGGGGAAACCCUGAUGCAGCGACGCCGCGUGGAGGAAGAAGGUCUUCGGAUUGUAAACUCCUGUUGUUGGGGAAAAAGAGGAUGGUACCCAACAAGGAAGUGACGGCUAACUACGUGCCAGUAGCCGCGGUAAUCUGAGCGGGCUGGCAAGGC
This 198-nucleotide ribosomal RNA is filed under the name uncultured bacterium. RNAcentral's name for it is "partial 16S ribosomal RNA". It matches the Rfam family "Bacterial small subunit ribosomal RNA", at positions 328 to 539 of the family's 1533-position model. The record is from RNAcentral.